Molecule: ribosomal RNA, 433 nt
Filed under: uncultured bacterium
Lineage: Bacteria
Description: partial 16S ribosomal RNA
Rfam family: Bacterial small subunit ribosomal RNA
Source: RNAcentral
AACGAACGCUGGCGGCAUGCCUAACACAUGCAAGUCGAACGAGACCUUCGGGUCUAGUGGCGCACGGGUGCGUAACGCGUGGGAACCUGCCCUUAGGUUCGGAAUAACUCCCCGAAAGGGGUGCUAAUACCGGAUAAUGUCUUCGGACCAAAGAUUUAUCGCCUUUGGAUGGGCCCGCGUUGGAUUAGCUAGUUGGUAGGGUAAAAGCCUACCAAGGCGACGAUCCAUAGCUGGUCUGAGAGGAUGAUCAGCCACACUGGGACUGAGACACGGCCCAGACUCGUACGGGAGGGAGCAGUAGGGAAUAUUGGACAAUGGGCGAAAGCCUGAUCCAGCAAUGCCGCGGGAGUGAUGAAGGCCGUAGGGUUGUAAAGCUCUUUUACCCGGGAUGAUAAUGACAGUACCGGGAGAAUAAGCUCCGGCUAACUCCGUG